Molecule: ribosomal RNA, 253 nt
Filed under: uncultured bacterium
Lineage: Bacteria
Description: partial 16S ribosomal RNA
Rfam family: Bacterial small subunit ribosomal RNA
Source: RNAcentral
UACGUAGGUGGCAAGCGUUGUCCGGAUUUACUGGGGGUAAAGAGCGCGCAGGCGGUCGUUCAAGUCGCGUGUGAAAGCCCCCGGCUCAACUGGGGAGGGUCACGCGAUACUGAUCGACUCGAAGGCAGGAGAGGGUAGUGGAAUUCCCGGUGUAGUGGUGAAAUGCGUAGAUAUCGGGAGGAACACCAGUGGCGAAGGCGACUACCUGGCCUGUUCUUGACGCUGAGGCGCGAAAGCUAGGGGAGCAAACGGG